This 497-nucleotide ribosomal RNA is filed under the name uncultured bacterium. Its description in RNAcentral is "partial 16S ribosomal RNA". It matches the Rfam family "Bacterial small subunit ribosomal RNA", at positions 28 to 507 of the family's 1533-position model. The record is from RNAcentral.
GAUGAACGCUGGCGGCGUGCCUAAUACAUGCAAGUCGAGCGAACGGACGAGAGGCUUGCUUUUCUGAUGUUAGCGGCGGACGGGUGAGUAACACGUGGAUAACCUACCUAUAAGACUGGGAUAACUUCGGGAAACCGGAGCUAAUACCGGAUAAUAUUUUGAACCGCAUGGUUCAAAAGUGAAAGACGGUCUUGCUGUCACUUAUAGAUGGAUCCGCGCUGCAUUAGCUAGUUGGUAAGGUAACGGCUUACCAAGGCAACGAUGCAUAGCCGACCUGAGAGGGUGAUCGGCCACACCGGAACUGGGACACGGUCCAGACUCCUACGGGAGGCAGCAGUAGGGAAUCUUCCGCAAUGGGCGAAAGCCUGACGGAGCAAGGCCGCGUGAGUGAUGAAGGUCUUCGGAUCGUAAAACUCUGUUAUUAGGGAAGAACAUAUGUGUAAGUAACUGUGCACAUCUUGACGGUACCUAAUCAGAAAGCCACGGCUAACUACGUG